This 253-nucleotide ribosomal RNA is filed under the name uncultured bacterium. RNAcentral describes it as "partial 16S ribosomal RNA". It matches the Rfam family "Bacterial small subunit ribosomal RNA", at positions 524 to 776 of the family's 1533-position model. The record is from RNAcentral.
GACAGAGGGUGCAAACGUUGUUCGGAAUUACUGGGCGUAAAGCGUGUGUAGGCGGUCUGCUAAGUCGGGUGUGAAAGCCCUGGGCUCAACCCAGGAAGUGCACUCGAAACUGGCAGGCUAGAGUACUGGAGAGGUUGGUGGAAUUCCCGGUGUAGCGGUGAAAUGCGCAGAUAUCGGGAAGAACACCCGUGGCGAAGGCGGCUCUCUGGGACGGUACUGACGCUGAGACGCGAAAGCGUGGGGAGCGAACAGG